UUAAUUGAAACCAAAAUAGAGGUUUAUCACUGUUAAUGAUAAUAAUGAAAGCUAAUUUCCAAUUAAA
Molecule: transfer RNA, 67 nt
Filed under: Nigronia serricornis
Lineage: Eukaryota; Metazoa; Arthropoda; Insecta; Megaloptera; Corydalidae
Description: tRNA-Asn
Source: RNAcentral